CAUUGCACUUGAUCCAGCAUCAAGUAUGGGGGAGUGAGAGAGUAUUUCUUCGGCCACCUCUUUUGGUGCCGGCUUUUACCUCAAAUAAAUUUACAAUUUUUUCCUCACUGUCCCAAGACUACCCGCUGAACUUAAGCAUAUCAAUAAGCCGGAGGAAAAGAAACCAACAGGGAUUACCUCAGUAACGGCGAGUGAAGCGGUAAAAGCUCAAAUUUGAAAUCUUCGGAAUUGUAAUUUGAUGGAUAAAAUUGCUACGGUCGAAAGUUCACUGGAAAGUGACGCCAUAGAGGGUGAUAGCCCCGUAACGUCCACUGGCACUAUAAUUUUAUUCCAAAGAGUCGGGUUGUUUGGGAAUGCAGCUCAAAGUGGGUGGUAAAUUCCAUCUAAAGCUAAAUAUUGACGAGAGACCGAUAGCGAACAAGUACAGUGAUGGAAAGAUGAAAAGAACUUUGAAAAGAGAGUGAAACAGUACGUGAAAUUGUUGAAAGGGAAGGGGAGGGAAGAUGUUAAAGGGAACUCCUUCAGCGUAGGGAUCCCCCCAAAGAGUCUUUCCUCUCGCCCGUCUUGAAACACGGACCAAGGAGUCUAACGAUUAUGCAAGUAUUUGAGUCAACCCCCAAAUGCGUAAUGAAAGUAAUUGGUCAACCCUACCCUCCUGUCCUAAAGG
Molecule: ribosomal RNA, 667 nt
Filed under: Metschnikowia continentalis
Lineage: Eukaryota; Fungi; Ascomycota; Pichiomycetes; Serinales; Metschnikowiaceae
Description: LSU rRNA
Rfam family: Eukaryotic large subunit ribosomal RNA (bases 99-667)
Source: RNAcentral